CUUCUCUUUGCUGGCUUCACUCCUGUCCCGGUGAUCAAUGGGCUCUGGUUGGGCUGGAAAGCAGCACAAAGAGAGGCAUUUACAGCCCUGCUGUCUCUCCAACAGGGCUGUAACUCAGGCUCCCGGUCACCGUGGGGAAUGGGAGGCAGGAGCUCCUGCUUUGGUGGCAGCAGCAGCACCGACAUUUUUCCUCUUGUGGUAAAUGUGUUACUUGGGGGUAAUUUACCUGCUUAUGUCAAGUUUUGAAAAGAAACAGACUGGCUGCUGAGCAGCUCCUGACACUUGCAGUGUGCAUGGCAUGAACACACAUGUCUACACAGAGAAAAGGAAUCACCCAAGCUGGAAGGACCUGUUUGCAAAUGCCUGCACUGGCGCUGCAGUCUCGGCGUGGAGUCAGUUUAGGACUGAGGCUGAGAUCUUGCCACAGUCCAUCCCUCCGGGGGAUCUCCAGGGUCUGCAGCCACCUACUGGUCCUGGGUCUCAGCCCUGCUGUUUCAUUGCCUCUGUGUGGCACAGCCCUUGUCCCUCCCUGGGACACAGUGCUCCUCUUCACCCUGAGGAGCUGCUGGUGGGACAGCCAGGUCCCCAGGAGCCUGUCUGGAUGUGAUGGGAGAUGCUCUGGUCAGUGGUACCAAGCCUGGAGAAGGGCGCCUUGCUGGGGGAAACUGAACACGCAUGGACUGAUGGUUUCGUGA
Molecule: long non-coding RNA, 695 nt
Filed under: Junco hyemalis (dark-eyed junco)
Lineage: Eukaryota; Metazoa; Chordata; Aves; Passeriformes; Passerellidae
Description: lncRNA (ENSJHYG00000001723.1)
Source: RNAcentral